UACGGGGGGGGCAAGCGUUGUUCGGAAUUACUGGGCGUAAAGGGCUCGUAGGCGGCCGACUAAGUCGGACGUGAAAUCCCUCGGCUUAACCGGGGAAUGGCGUCCGAUACUGGAUGGCUUGAGUCCGGGAGAGGGAUGCGGAAUUCCAGGUGUAGCGGUGAAAUGCGUAGAUAUCUGGAGGAACACCGGUGGCGAAGGCGGCAUCCUGGACCGGCACUGACGCUGAGGAGCGAAAGCCAGGGGAGCAAACGGG
This 253-nucleotide ribosomal RNA is filed under the name uncultured bacterium. Its description in RNAcentral is "partial 16S ribosomal RNA". It matches the Rfam family "Bacterial small subunit ribosomal RNA", at positions 524 to 776 of the family's 1533-position model. The record is from RNAcentral.